Molecule: ribosomal RNA, 439 nt
Filed under: uncultured bacterium
Lineage: Bacteria
Description: partial 16S ribosomal RNA
Rfam family: Bacterial small subunit ribosomal RNA
Source: RNAcentral
CCUACGGGUGGCAGCAGUGGGGGAUAUUGCACAAUGGGGGAAACCCUGAUGCAGCGAUGCCGCGUGAAUGAAGACUGCCUUCGGGUUGUAAAGUUCUGUUGCAGGGGGAGAAAAAGACGGUACCCUGCAAGAAAGCGACGGCUAACUACGUGCCAGCAGCGGCGGUAAUACGUAGGGAGCAAGCGUUGUCCGGAAUUACUGGGUGUAAAGGGAGCGUAAGCGGGAGGAUAAGUUGAAUGUGAAAUCUAUGGGCUAAACCGAUAGCUGCGUUCAAAACUGUUCUUCUUGAGUGAAGUAGAGGCAGGCGGAAUUCCUAGUGUAGCGGUGACAUGCGUAGAUAUUAGGAGGAACACCAGUGGCGAAGGCAGCCUGCUAAGCUUUUACUGACGCUGAUGCUCGAAAGCGUGGGUAGCAAACAGGAUUAGAUACCCUAGUAGUC